RNAcentral lists this ribosomal RNA (383 nucleotides) under Sphingosinicella sp. MCL2.68. Its description in RNAcentral is "bacterial SSU rRNA". It matches the Rfam family "Bacterial small subunit ribosomal RNA", at positions 949 to 1327 of the family's 1533-position model. Lineage: Bacteria; Pseudomonadati; Pseudomonadota; Alphaproteobacteria; Sphingomonadales; Sphingosinicellaceae. The record is from RNAcentral.
UUUCGGAUGCAACGGGAAGAAACCUUACCNUGGUCUUGACAUGUCGAGAACUUUUCCAGAGAUGGAUUGGUGCUUUCGGGAACUCGAACACAGGUGCUGCAUGGCUGUCGUCAGCUCGUGUCGUGAGAUGUGGUUAAAGUCCCGCAACGAGCGCAACCCUUGUCCUUAGUUUGCCAGCACGUAAUGGUGGGAACUCUAAGGAGACCGCCGGUGACAAACCGGAGGAAGGUGGGGAUGACGUCAAGUCAUCAUGGNCCUUACGACCAGGGCUACACACGUACUACAAUGGUGGGGACAGAGGGCUGCAAACUCGCGAGAGUGAGCCAAUCCCAGAAACCCUAUCUCAGUCCGGAUUGGAGUCUGCAACUCGACGCCACCGAGUC